This 442-nucleotide ribosomal RNA is filed under the name uncultured bacterium. RNAcentral describes it as "partial 16S ribosomal RNA". It matches the Rfam family "Bacterial small subunit ribosomal RNA", at positions 338 to 795 of the family's 1533-position model. The record is from RNAcentral.
CCUACGGGAGGCAGCAGUGGGGAAUAUUGGGCAAUGGGCGCAAGCCUGACCCAGCAACGCCGCGUGAAGGAAGAAGGCUUUCGGGUUGUAAACUUCUUUUCUCAGGGACGAAGCAAGUGACGGUACCUGAGGAAUAAGCCACGGCUAACUACGUGCCAGCAGCCGCGGUAAUACGGAGGAUGCGAGCGUUAUCCGGAUUUAUUGGGUUUAAAGGGUGCGUAGGCGGAAUGCCAAGUCAGUGGUAAAAUCGCGGGGCUCAACCUCGCCCCGCCGUUGAAACUGGCGGUCUUGAGUGGGCGAGAAGUAUGCGGAAUGCGUGGUGUAGCGGUGAAAUGCAGAGAUAUCGCGCAGAACUCCGAUUGCGAAGGCAGCAUGCCGGCGCCCAACUGACGCUGAAGCACGAAAGCGUGGGUAUCGAACAGGAUUAGAUACCCGAGUAGUC